Molecule: long non-coding RNA, 702 nt
Organism: Sarcophilus harrisii (Tasmanian devil)
Lineage: Eukaryota; Metazoa; Chordata; Mammalia; Dasyuromorphia; Dasyuridae
Exons: 3
Source: RefSeq, a predicted model, not a curated record
UCCCUGGCUCCUCCGGCGGCUUCUGCGCGCCCCCCGCCCUGGCCCCAUUGUGUGCUGGCUGGCCUCCCUCCGACAGCGCCCCCGCCUGCCUGCUGGGCCUAGUGCGCCACGCGCCUCUGGCCUCGCGGCGGGCGCUGUCACUCACUGGGAGAACCGGGCGGGAGCCUGGGGACGCGGGUUCGAAUCCCCGUGCUGGGGCUCCCAUCCCCCACCCUCCGCGACUCCCCUCCCUCACGCUCCGGACCUCGCUUUCCCUUUCUGGAAAAGUAAAGGACGGCCCCGCCCCCCUCUCUAUCCCGAGGUGGGGGAGAGGGGGCCUGGUCUGCAUUGUUGCGGUGUCCACCACAUACAAAAAUGAGGACACAAUCGCCGGAGUCGCGACUUGAACUCACGUCCUCCGACUCUAAAGUCCGCUCUCUACCCGGCCCGGCACGUGUUGAUUUCCUGAGCAGCCUCCGUUUAUUCAGGGCUCACUCCGGACACCGGCCGGAUCCUAGCUGGAAUAAACUCGAGACCACCCAGUCCUUUGAAUUGAGAGCAAACAAUUCAGCCCCAACCCGGAAAUAUCUGUCCGAGGUCACAAAGCUCCUAAGCUGCCUCCCGAGAUCAAGUUCAGAACCGUAGCCACCGGGAUCUUGUGUUUUGUUUUGUUUUUCCCCCCUCCACCCUUUUCAUUUUUAUUCUUUGUUGCUAGAGAUAGCU